GGGGUUGUGGCUCAGUGGUAAAGCACUUGCCUAGCAUGCGUGAGGCACUGGGUUCAAUUCCCAGCACCA
Molecule: transfer RNA, 69 nt
Filed under: Urocitellus parryii (Arctic ground squirrel)
Lineage: Eukaryota; Metazoa; Chordata; Mammalia; Rodentia; Sciuridae
Also listed under: 1 other name
Description: Spermophilus parryii (Arctic ground squirrel) tRNA
Rfam family: tRNA
About the family: Transfer RNA (tRNA) molecules are approximately 80 nucleotides in length.
Source: Rfam by way of RNAcentral